Molecule: ribosomal RNA, 468 nt
Filed under: uncultured bacterium
Lineage: Bacteria
Description: partial 16S ribosomal RNA
Rfam family: Bacterial small subunit ribosomal RNA
Source: RNAcentral
GAUGAACGCUGGCGGCGUGCUUAACACAUGCAAGUCGAACGGAAAGGCCAGUGCUUGCCCUGGUACUCGAGUGGCGAACGGGUGAGUAACACGUGGGUGAUCUGCCCUGCACUUCGGGAUAAGCCUGGGAAACUGGGUCUAAUACCGGAUAGGACAAUGGUUUGGAUGCCGUUGUGGAAAGUUUUUUCGGUGUGGGAUGAGCUCGCGGCCUAUCAGCUUGUUGGUGGGGUAAUGGCCUACCAAGGCGUCGACGGGUAGCCGGCCUGAGAGGGUGUACGGCCACAUUGGGACUGAGAUACGGCCCAGACUCCUACGGGAGGCAGCAGUGGGGAAUAUUGCACAAUGGGCGCAAGCCUGAUGCAGCGACGCCGCGUGGGGGAUGACGGCCUUCGGGUUGUAAACUCCUUUCGCUAGGGACGAAGCGUAUUUGUGACGGUACCUGGAGAAGAAGCACCAGCUAACUACGUG